AUUGAACGCUGGCGGCAUGCCUUACACAUGCAAGUCGAACGGUAACAGGUCUUCGGAUGCUGACGAGUGGCGAACGGGUGAGUAAUACAUCGGAACGUGCCUAGUAGUGGGGGAUAACUACUAGAAAGAGUGGCUAAUACCGCAUGAGAUUUACGGAUGAAAGCAGGGGAUCGCAAGACCUUGUGCUACUAGAGCGGCCGAUUGCAGAUUAGGUAGUUGGUGGGAUAAAAGCUUACCAAGCCGACGAUCUGUAGCUGGUCUGAGAGGACGAACAGCCACACUGGGACUGAGACACGGCCCAGACUCCUACGGGAGGCAGCAGUGGGGAAUUUUGGACAAUGGGCGAAAGCCUGAUCCAGCAAUGCCGCGUGCAGGAUGAAGGCCUUCGGGUUGUAAACUGCUUUUGUACGGAACGAAAAGCCCCGGGUUAAUACCCUGGGGUCACGACGGUACCGUAAGAAUAAGCACCGGCUAACUACGUGCCAGCAGCCGCAGUAA
This 498-nucleotide ribosomal RNA is filed under the name uncultured bacterium. RNAcentral's name for it is "partial 16S ribosomal RNA". It matches the Rfam family "Bacterial small subunit ribosomal RNA", at positions 30 to 523 of the family's 1533-position model. The record is from RNAcentral.